RNAcentral lists this small RNA (1979 nucleotides) under Pongo abelii (Sumatran orangutan). Its description in RNAcentral is "retained intron". Lineage: Eukaryota; Metazoa; Chordata; Mammalia; Primates; Hominidae. The record is from RNAcentral.
ACUUACCUGGGCCCGGAGAGGGUGGAGGGAGGCCCAGGGCGACCCAAGGUGGAGAGAGACGAGAAGCCGCCGAGAGCCGACCACCCUCCGGGCCCGGUCUGUCUGUCCGUGGUGGUUCUCAGAUGCCUCUGCAGCCUCAUCUGUAUCCUCUAUUGUAAUGGCGUGAAGGAAAGCCAUGGCAGAUUUCCAGCCUGGUGAUGCUGUACAGAACACAGGUGGCCUGCUUGCAUGCCUCCUCAGCUUCAAGAAACUAGAAUGAACCGAAGCAUUCCUGUGGAGGUUGAUGAAUCAGAACCAUACCCAAGUCAGUUGCUGAAACCAAUCCCAGAAUAUUCCCUGGAAGAGGAAUCAGAACCACCUGCUCCAAAUAUAAGGAACAUGGCACCCAACAGCUUGUCUGCAAUGCUUCACAAUUCCUCCGGAGACUUUUCUCAAGCUCACUCAACCCUGAAACUUGCAAAUCACCAGCGGCCUGUAUCCCGGCAGGUCACCUGCCUGCGCACUCAAGUUCUGGAGGACAGUGAAGACAGUUUCUGCAGGAGACACCCAGGCCCGGGCAAAGCUUUCCCUUCUGGGUGCUCUGCAGUCAGUGAGCCUGAGUCUGAGUCUGUGGUUGGAGCCCUCCCUGCAGAGCAUCAGUUUUCAUUUAUGGAAAAACGUAAUCAAUGGCUGGUAUCUCAGCUUUCAGCGGCUUCUCCUGACACUGGCCACGACUCAGACAAAUCAGACCAAAGUUUGCCUAAUGCCUCAGCAGACUCCUUGGGCGGUAGCCAGGAGAUGGUGCAACGGCCCCAGCCUCACAGGAACCGAGCAGGCCUGGAUCUGCCAACCAUAGACACAGGAUAUGAUUCCCAGCCCCAGGAUGUCCUGGGCAUCAGGCAGCUGGAAAGGCCCCUGCCCCUCACCUCCGUGUGUUACCCCCAGGACCUCCCCAGACCUCUCAGGUCCAGGGAGUUCCCUCAGUUUGAACCUCAGAGAUAUCCAGCAUGUGCACAGAUGCUGCCUCCCAAUCUUUCCCCACAUGCUCCAUGGAACUAUCAUUACCAUCGUCCUGGAAGUCCCGAUCACCAGGUGCCAUAUGGCCAUGACUACCCUCGAGCAGCCUACCAGCAAGUGAUCCAGCCGGCUCUGCCUGGGCAGCCCCUGCCUGGAGCCAGUGUGAGAGGCCUGCACCCUGUGCAGAAGGUUAUCCUGAAUUAUCCCAGCCCCUGGGACCAAGAAGAGAGGCCCGCACAGACAGACUGCUCCUUUCCGGGGCUUCCAAGGCACCAGGACCAGCCACAUCACCAGCCACCUAAUAGAGCUGGUGCUCCUGGGGAGUCCUUGGAGUGCCCUGCAGAGCUGAGACCACAGGUUCCCCAGCCUCUGUCCCCAGCUGCUGUGCCUAGACCCCCUAGCAACCCUCCAGCCAGAGGAACUCUAAAAACAAGCAAUUUGCCAGAAGAAUUGCGGAAAGUCUUUAUCACUUAUUCGAUGGACACAGCUAUGGAGGUGGUGAAAUUCGUGAACUUUUUGUUGGUAAAUGGCUUCCAAACUGCAAUUGACAUAUUUGAGGAUAGAAUCCGAGGCAUUGAUAUCAUUAAAUGGAUGGAGCGCUACCUUAGGGAUGUAAGUACAUUCCAAAAACCAGAGUUUGUUUUCUGGUGAGAAAGACAAUGAGCUUAUGAAGUUGUUUUAUCAAAGAAACCCUGGCAUACCCACCUAAGUCUGAAGCUGAGAAAGCCCCAACAAAGCCUCCCUUGUUGGAAGCCGUGCAAAGACUUGGAAAGGAAGGAUGGAGUCGCCCUCUUGGACAUGCACAGGCAGGAAAUAACGGUCAAACCAGACACAGGUGGUUGAUAACAAUCAGAGGAAACAAUCUUUUGAUGAGAAUAGGAAAGAAGGAAAUGAAGGCGGAGAGUAGGGAGAGAGCAGCAGAAUUCAAUUUAAUCUGAGGCCACCCCAAGUGUUUUGUAGAAUUGGGCUGAAGAGGUUUCCUA